UUUCUAAACCUAAUGUCUCUAACUAUUGAUGUAGUUUUAUUUCAAAAUCAAAUCUACCUAGGGAAGAAAUUCAAAAUGCAAAUAUGCUAGUAUAAGCUAUUUCACCUAAUUCUAACUAUGUCACUAGUUUACAUAUGAACAAUUUCAUAUACAAAAAAGAAUUGUCUAAUGAUCAAAUAAAAGGAAACAAAAACAUGAUGAACCAACCCAUUGUCAUAUAUACAAAAGAAAAUGCACCCAAGGUAGCUAGCCGAAUGGUCAAGCAUUUGAUUUAGAUGUGGUUGGUUGGAUACCUUAAUCACAAUAUGUCGCAUUCAAAAUAACCUUAGAGGCCACGUAGUCUCCAAGUUAUGGAGGCUUAUUCAAUGUAUGUCAUGAAGGGCGGGAUUUGUACUGCACCGUGCUGUAAAAAAGGCAUCAUUAAUUGCUCAAAUCAGUUAUGACGGAGCAGCAUUUCUAAGUGCAUGUAAUUAAAUAUCUAUUAGACAUCUUGCUAGUAAUGCGUGUACAAAUAAUUCGAUAUAUGUGAUCGCGUAGGGGCANNNNNNNNNNNNNNNNNNNNNNNNNNNNNNNNNNNNNNNNNNNNNNNNNNNNNNNNNNNNNNNNNNNNNNNNNNNNNNNNNNNNNNNNNNNNNNNNNNNNUGUGGCCUCGGGGGAUGAAGAUCAUUAAAAGUGGCAACGGCAUUAUACAAAUACCCUUCUUUCCCUUUUAGAAUGUUUAUGGUAGUUGGUUUUGUUGUUUUUGCAGGACUUCCAACAAUUGAGGUACAUUAAAUUGCAUGAUUGCGAGUCGCUCGUUAGUACACCCAACAUCUCAUGUGCUCCAAAUCUCGAAGAAUUGAAACUCUGGAAUUGCAAUAACUUGGUAGAAGCCCAUGAGUCAAUUGCAUAUCAUGACAAGCUCCAGGUCUUGCAUCUUAAAUGGUGCCCUGAACUUUGUGUUUUUCCGAAGGUGCUCAAGUCAAAAAAUCUUCAAGAUCUCAAACUUUCCGAUUGCCCAAAAUUGGAAAGAUUCCCUGAUAUUCCAAAUGAACUUAGAGGCCUGAAAGAACUUUCCAUACGACAUACCGCUUUAAAAGAACUUCCUACAUCAAUAAAAAAUCUUGUCUCUCUAGAGAAAAUACAUUUAGACAUGGGCAAAAACCCUAUAAGUCAUCCAUCUAACAAUUACAAGUUACAAAAACUUCAAUGGUUCAAAUCUUUUCUCUGCCAAAUCGUGUUUCCAAACCUUUGGAAUUCAGCUGAUCCAUGCAUGAAGAUCGGACUUCCAAAUUCAAAUGUGUCAGACCUUUUAAAUUGUAAUCUAUCCCAAGUAGAGUUUCUUGAGGAUCUUUCUUGUUUCCCCUUGUUGAAAAUCUUAAUUCUGUCGGGGAACAAUAUUACUAGCCUUUCCACAUCCAUCAAGCGUGAUCGUUUGUCCACAUCGUCAAUUAGUAAGGUGAGCAUUUAUCUACAUAGACCUUUUUAUUAUCUACUUCAUUUGUAUGGGCGUUUGUGUACUGUAUGCACUAGUAUCCCUAAGGAAAUGGUGUUCCUCUGUUUUAGAAACCACUACUCUAUUUUCUUGUAGAAUGUCGUUAACUACGUGUGUUGGAAAUAACGUCCAACAUAAUUGGCAUUGAAAAAUUAAGUGAAACAUCUUUAUAAGAAAUCCGCAAUGAAAACAUUUUGCGGGUAAAAUACACAAUACAAACAAUUUCUAUUAUUAUAUGCAGAAAGAAAAAAUUUGAAUUUUCCUAUGAAGGCCAUUGGAUCAUGAUUAGAUUCAAUUUUUAAUAUAUUAAAAUAUGUGAGAGAUAAAAUAAAAUAACCGAUUUCGUGCAUUUGUCCAUGGAUAUUAUAUUUGUAAAAUGAGCAACUGAAGAUCAUGGAUGGAAGGAAUGAAAAAGAGGUUAAAAUCCUUCACAAGUAGAAGGUUUUUAUUAUAUAUAGAAGGACAGAUACUUUCUAAACCUAAUAUCUCGAACUAUUGAUGUAGUUUUAUUUCAAAAUCAAAUCUACCUAGGGAAGAAAUUCAAAAUGCAAAUAUGCUAGUAUAAACUAUUUCGCCUAAUUCUAACUAUGUCACUAGUUUACAUAUAAACAUUUUUAUAUACAAAAAAUAAUUGUAUAAUGGUCAGAUAAAGGGAAAUAAAAACAUGACGAAUUAACCCAUUGACAUAUAUACAAAAGUAAAAACGUCCAAGGAAUAGCUUGUUAAAUGGUCAAGCAUUUAAUUUAAAUGUGGUUGGUCAGAUAUAUUGAUCAUAAUAUCUCACUCUCAAAAUAACCUUAGAGGCCACGUAGUCUCCAAGUCAUGGAGGCUUUCCAAUGUAUGUUGUAAAGGGCGGCAUUUGUCCUGCACCGUGCUGUAAAUAUAUACAUCAUUAUUUGCUCAAAUCAGUUCUGAAGGAGUAGCAUUUCUAAGUACCCGUAAUUAAAUAUUUAUUAAACAUCUUGCUAGUAAUGCAUGUACAACUAAUUCGAUAUAAGUGAUCCCGUAGGGGCAUGCCACCAGGAAUUGUCACCAAUUAUAAGGUGAUAUAAAUUAUAACUAAUUCAUUCAAAAACUUUUGGCAAUCCUUAAUAAUUCAAUAUUUGUUCUCACCAAUUAUAAGGUGAUAUAAAUUAUCUCCAUCAACUAUAAAGUAACAGG
This 2635-nucleotide long non-coding RNA is filed under the name Eucalyptus grandis. Its description in RNAcentral is "long non-coding RNA (EGRA_LNC002922)". Lineage: Eukaryota; Viridiplantae; Streptophyta; Magnoliopsida; Myrtales; Myrtaceae. The record is from RNAcentral.